This 1724-nucleotide long non-coding RNA is filed under the name Mytilus galloprovincialis (Mediterranean mussel). The record is from RNAcentral. Lineage: Eukaryota; Metazoa; Mollusca; Bivalvia; Mytilida; Mytilidae.
UGAACAGAGUUUAUGUUUGCGUCUGCGUACAAAAAUAUAACGGUAAAUUCUUUGACGAGAGUCUUUUUCACAUAAAACUGCACAUUUACAUAAAUACCUGUUUCAUAAGGAAAUGCCUGUACCAAGUUAGGAACCUGACAGUUGUUUUCCAUUCGUUUGAUGUGUUUAAGGUUUUAAUUUUGCUAUUUGAUAGGGGACUAUCCGUUUUGACUUUUCCGUGGAUAUCGGUAUUUUUGCUAUUUUAUUUGUUUUCUAGAAAUGAUUUAGUAUGCAAAUCUUGUAGGCUCCUAUAACAUUAAUUUUGUAAAUGUUUUAAACCAACAAAAAAAAAACAACAAAUACUUUAUUAAUUUUAUGAGUCCAAAGCACUCUUCUUGAUUUACCUUUUACAAGAACGUUCAAGUCAAAAACAUUUAACAGUUUUCUUCCUAUCUAUAAAGACAACAGUAGCAUACCGCUGUUCGAAAGUCAUAAAUUGAUUUCGAUAAAACAAACCCGGGUUACAAACUGAAACAGAGGGAAACACAUUAACUAUAAGAGGAAAACCACGAAACAACAGAAACACAGUGCAACAAAAAAUAACAAAAGACAAUGCUUCACACACAGAAACGAACUAUAAGAUAACAACUGUCAUUUUCCUCACUUAUUACAGGACAUUUACAAAAAAAUGGUGGGUUGAACAUGGAUUUAUGGGUAGCCAAACAUCGCGCUUUUAUGGCAAUGUUAAAUAUAACACUUAAUUGACAACAUAACAUGACAGGACAACAGUUCGAAUAAAUGCAAAAAUAUUCAGGACAGAGACAUACAAAGUUGUCAAGAUAAUAAAAAAAACACGAUACAAUUGUUGAAAACAAUAGAAAAAACAAAGGAUACGGGCUAUCCAUUCAUGACACAAUAUCAGUACAUGUACCCCCCCCCCCCCCCCCAUUACACACACUAACAAAACAAAGUUAUUUAGGGACAGUACUGCUACAAGGAAUUACUUGAUGGUUUUAAUCAUGUUGAUAUAUUUGUGGAUAUUGUAUUGCUUAUCACUGAAUAAAACAAUUAACUUUCUUUAAAUUGUAUCCUUAUGACUUAUCCGACCGUGUUAUUCCAUCUGAAUCUAAAAUGGGUUUGUGUAUAAGAAAUUGAACAAAGGUAUAAUUGAAGUUAUAUUUCUGGAUGGAAAAGUUUGCUUACCACGAAAUAAUUUAAAACACUAGCUAUUUGUAUGGAAUAUAAAACUUUUAGCUGACAAAGAAUAUCGUGUACUGGAAAACCAUGAUUUUGUUAUUAGUACGAUAAACCAAAUGUUCAUCGAAACGUUGUUCGAUUGGACAGGUAUUUUAUAGGUAAACAAAUCUGAUCAAAUAUGCAAGGCUUAUGAUUUUGUAUACAGCAAUAACUGCUCAAGAUAGGUAAAAGAUUUUAUGGAGUUCAUUUUAAGAGAUUUAAGAAACAGCAAUCAGUUUUAAUAGGAAUAGGUAAACUAUGGCAUAGUGUACAACAGUUUACAAACUUAAAAUGGCAAACGUUAUUAAUUGGAAAAAGUAUGCUAUGUCAUGGUGGACAACUCACAAACCGAAAACGCAAACAUCGUUAAUUUCGUUUGAAAAUUUAUAAAUUGACAAAUGAUAUAGGCACCUAUUUAUUGAGAUACGCCGUAUACUGAACUCUAUGUCUUUUAUUUUUAUUUUUUGUUCUUCUGUUUAGUUGAGUUGUUGUCUUUUUAAAGUAUAACC